Molecule: transfer RNA, 77 nt
Filed under: Bacillus cereus
Lineage: Bacteria; Bacillati; Bacillota; Bacilli; Caryophanales; Bacillaceae
Description: tRNA-Met
Rfam family: tRNA
About the family: Transfer RNA (tRNA) molecules are approximately 80 nucleotides in length. Their secondary structure includes four short double-helical elements and three loops (D, anti-codon, and T loops). Further hydrogen bonds mediate the characteristic L-shaped molecular structure. tRNAs have two regions of fundamental functional importance: the anti-codon, which is responsible for specific mRNA codon recognition, and the 3' end, to which the tRNAs corresponding amino acid is attached (by aminoacyl-tRNA synthetases). tRNAs cope with the degeneracy of the genetic code in two manners: having more than one tRNA (with a specific anti-codon) for a particular amino acid; and 'wobble' base-pairing, i.e. permitting non-standard base-pairing at the 3rd anti-codon position.
Source: RNAcentral
GGACCUUUAGCUCAUUUGGUUAGAGUAGACGUCUCAUAACUGUCCAAUCUUAGGUUCGAGUCCUAAAAAGUCCCCUA